AUUAAGUAUCCCGUGUUAGCUCAUUAAAGACUUCCACUUUCUCUUGAAAGGAGUCAUAUCGUUGGAUAGAUAAAGAAACAUUUUGAGAGAACUAAUUAUAUGCAAGAUAAAAGCUUUCGAUAAAUUUACAUAACUUAGUAUUUCACUGACGGCUACUUCAUCAAACCACGAAAUAUGGAAAACAUAGAUAAUAAAUAGGGCAGGUUUCGUACUCGGAAUGCAAAGGAAAAUCAAAAGGCGUUAAACAAAGUAUUGGGGAUUCGGCAAUAGAGAUAUGAAAAAAAAAUAGAAUAAACAGUUCAGUGGAAAUGUGAAAUGCGUGACAUUUAUUCCAUCACGAAACGAUAUAACUGCUUCAAUUAAAAUUUGAAGAUAGCUGAGAAAAAUUACAGGUUCCUAUCGGACUCUAGGAUUCAGCUCAAACUAUCAUAGACGAGUGUCCACCAAUUGUUCCAGUCCACACUGACCAUUAGGUAGCAACAGUGGUCUCUCUUCGGCACCCACCAGCCUGUUCAAUCCGCCACAGAUAUGGCUUCUCCACAUAUAACUCACCAAGCCACACUUAUAAGGCCGCCACUUAUCCGAUUCUACAACAUACAUCAGCCUAGCAUAUAUGCCUCUCCCUCGCGUACAUCUCGUAGACGUCCCAACACUAUCGACACAGACGUAGCGCACAAUCGGCUGCUCCUAUGCAACAGAAAUGAGCGCCCACCAGUCAUCACAAAUAGGCACAAUCGUGAGUCCCAAAAUCAGAAUAUGGAAAAUGGCAAUGGACCACGAGUCAUAUACGCCCCGAUAAAUGGAUCUGCUCAAAGCAGCAAUGAAAUCAUCGUUGACAACGACGCUGAAGAAAUAAACUUCAGCAACAUUG
This is a long non-coding RNA of Octopus sinensis (East Asian common octopus), 871 nucleotides long. RefSeq lists it as uncharacterized. The record is from RefSeq and is a predicted model, not a curated record. The transcript has 2 exons. Lineage: Eukaryota; Metazoa; Mollusca; Cephalopoda; Octopoda; Octopodidae.